AUGCUGGUUUUUGUACCAGUAAGUCAUUACAGCUGCUAGGAUGGAAUGGGUGUGGUCUAUCUUUUAUUAUGUGACAGGAAACAAAAAUCAAUUUCCUUGGUCCAUUAUGUCAGCUAGUCAACUUCAAAGCACAAGCUAAUAGCAGAAGAUUCUAUAUGAUAACUUACAAUUAUACUGACUAUGAUUUUUGGUAAUUUUUACUGUGUUUUUGUGAAUUGUUUUUAUAAAGUUUUAUUGUCAAACUCAA
Molecule: long non-coding RNA, 247 nt
Organism: Amphimedon queenslandica
Lineage: Eukaryota; Metazoa; Porifera; Demospongiae; Haplosclerida; Niphatidae
Exons: 3
Source: RefSeq, a predicted model, not a curated record